CUACGGGUGGCUCCAGUGAGGAAUAUUGCACAAUGGGGGGAACCCUGAUGCAGCAACGCCGCGUGGAGGAUGACGCAUUUCGGUGUGUAAACUCCUUUUAUAUGUCAAGAAAAUGACGGUAGCAUAUGAAUAAGCACCGGCUAACUCCGUGCCAGCAGCCGCGGUAAUACGGAGGGUGCAAGCGUUACUCGGAAUCACUGGGCGUAAAGGACGCGUAGGCGGGUUGGAAAGUCAGGUGUGAAAUCCUACAGCUUGACUGUAGAACUGCACUUGAAACUUCUAAUCUAGGGUAUGGGAGGGGGAGAUGGAAUUAGUGGUGUAGGGGUAAUAUCCGUAGAUAUCACUAGGAAUACCUAAAGCGAAGGCGAUCUCCUGGAACAUUACUGACGCUAAGGCGUGAAAGCGUGGGGAGCAAACAGGAUUAGAUACCCGUGUAGUC
Molecule: ribosomal RNA, 439 nt
Filed under: uncultured bacterium
Lineage: Bacteria
Description: partial 16S ribosomal RNA
Rfam family: Bacterial small subunit ribosomal RNA
Source: RNAcentral